RNAcentral lists this ribosomal RNA (301 nucleotides) under uncultured bacterium. Its description in RNAcentral is "partial 16S ribosomal RNA". It matches the Rfam family "Bacterial small subunit ribosomal RNA", at positions 509 to 807 of the family's 1533-position model. The record is from RNAcentral.
CAGUAGCCACGGUAAUACGGAGGGCGCGAGCGUUACCCGGAUUUACUGGGCGUAAAGGGCGUGUAGGCGGCCUGGGGCGUCCCAUGUGAAAGGCCACGGCUCAACCGUGGAGGAGCGUGGGAUACGCUCAGGCUAGAGGGUGGGAGAGGGUGGUGGAAUUCUCGGAGUAGCGGUGAAAUGCGCAGAUACCGGGAGGAACGCCGAUGGCGAAGGCAGCCACCUGGUCCACUUCUGACGCUGAGGCGCGAAAGCGUGGGGAGCAAACCGGAUUAGAUACCCCCGUAGUCCCUGUCUCUUAUAC